GCGGGAAUAGCUCAGUUGGUAGAGCAUAACCUUGCCAAGGUUGGGGUCGCGAGUUCGAGUCUCGUUUCCCGC
Molecule: transfer RNA, 72 nt
Filed under: Acinetobacter baumannii
Lineage: Bacteria; Pseudomonadati; Pseudomonadota; Gammaproteobacteria; Moraxellales; Moraxellaceae
Description: tRNA-Gly
Rfam family: tRNA
About the family: Transfer RNA (tRNA) molecules are approximately 80 nucleotides in length. Their secondary structure includes four short double-helical elements and three loops (D, anti-codon, and T loops). Further hydrogen bonds mediate the characteristic L-shaped molecular structure. tRNAs have two regions of fundamental functional importance: the anti-codon, which is responsible for specific mRNA codon recognition, and the 3' end, to which the tRNAs corresponding amino acid is attached (by aminoacyl-tRNA synthetases). tRNAs cope with the degeneracy of the genetic code in two manners: having more than one tRNA (with a specific anti-codon) for a particular amino acid; and 'wobble' base-pairing, i.e. permitting non-standard base-pairing at the 3rd anti-codon position.
Source: RNAcentral